AAAAGCCCUAAGAAACCUAUCUCAACUAGCACAACUAGAGCCCCUUACAAGUCGAGAGUCAUUUUCAUUCCAGAGCUCAAUUCCAAUCUGGGAAACAGAAUCUGGCCAUGGUAUAAUGGAAGAACCAGAACUCACUUUAGUAAGCACCAGUGACAUCAGUAUUGCUGAAGCAGAUUUUGCAAACUUAACCCUAGAAGAGAAGAGAGAGAACGAGACAAAAAACUUUGUUCAGGUAAAUUUAUUAGCAUUUGAACAUUAGAGAGCAGAAACUGACAGUUUAUAGGAAAACCCCUCUAUAUAUGUAGGAUUCAUAUAGUUCGACCAUCUACCUUUUUCAUAACACACCUGGAAGAAAGUAUUUGUCGAAUAUUGCUAUCAGCAAUAGCAAGAAAAGGAUGAGAAAGCGGAUGAUCUGCAGGCACAGAACCAACAAGCCAGGUGUGGGGUAAUUCACGGCCUACCUGGCCUGUAACUACGAACUACAAACUCAUCUGUGACUUUUGCAACUAGGUGGGUGAAUUUCUGCCUCUUCUAUCAGAAACCCCAGAUGAUCCAGCUGUAUCAGAGAACAAGCCUACAGCCAUAUCAGGGAACUUAC
This is a non-coding RNA of Castor canadensis (American beaver), 598 nucleotides long. The record is from RefSeq and is a predicted model, not a curated record. NCBI's taxonomy places the organism in Eukaryota, Metazoa, Chordata, Mammalia, Rodentia, Castoridae.